UAACGGAAGGCAGCAGUGGGGAAUAUUGCACAAUGGGCGAAAGCCUGAUGCAGCUAUGCCGCGUGUAUGAAGAAGGCCUUAGGGUUGUAAAGUACUUUCAUCGGGGAGGAAAAAACAAAACUAAUAAUUUUAUUUCUUGACGUUACCCGAAAAAGAAGCACCGGCUAACUCCGUGCCAGCAGCCGCGGUAAUACGGAGGGUGCUAGCGUUAAUCAGAAUUACUGGGCGUAAAGAGCACGUAGGUGGUUUUUUAAGUCAGAUGUGAAAUCCCUGGGCUUAACCUAGGAACUGCAUUUUGAAACUGAAAUACUAGAGUAUCGUAGAGGGAGGUAGAAUUCUAGGUGUAGCGGUGAAAUGCGUAGAUAUCUGGAGGAAUACCUGUGGCGAAAGCGGCCUCCUAAACGAAUACUGACACUGAGGGUGCGAAAGCGUGGGGAGCAAACAGGGAUUAGAUACC
This 457-nucleotide ribosomal RNA is filed under the name uncultured bacterium. RNAcentral's name for it is "bacterial SSU rRNA". It matches the Rfam family "Bacterial small subunit ribosomal RNA", at positions 339 to 786 of the family's 1533-position model. The record is from RNAcentral.